Molecule: ribosomal RNA, 574 nt
Filed under: uncultured marine eukaryote
Lineage: Eukaryota
Description: SSU rRNA
Rfam family: Eukaryotic small subunit ribosomal RNA
Source: RNAcentral
UGUGGUUAAAAAGCUCGUAGUUGGAUCUCAACAGCCUUGAAGCGGUUAACUUUGUAGUUUUACUGCUUUAUAGGCUGUGCUUUUGCUGGAGGUUUAGGGGUGCUCUUGAUCGAGUGUCUCUGGAUGCCAGCAGGUUUACUUUGAAAAAAUUAGAGUGCUCAAAGCAGGCUAAAAUGCCUGAAUAUUCGUGCAUGGAAUAAUAGAAUAGGAUGUCGAUCCUAUUUUGUUGGUUUUCGGGACUCGACAUAAUGAUAAAUAGGGACAGUCGGGGGCAUUUGUAUUCAAACGACAGAGGUGAAAUUCUUGGACCGUUUGAAGACAAACUACUGCGAAAGCAUUUGCCAAGAAUGUUUUCAUUAAUCAAGAACGAAAGUUAGAGGUUCGAAGGCGAUUAGAUACCGCCCUAGUUCUAACCAUAAACGAUGCCAGCUAGCGAUCUGCCUGCGUUUUUACUGUAGACUGGGCAGGAAGCUUCCGGGAAACCAAAGCAUUUGGGUUCCAGGGGAAGUAUGGUUGCAAAGCUGAAACUUAAAGGAAUUGACGGAAGGGCGCCACCAGGAGUGGAGCCUGUGGC